RNAcentral lists this ribosomal RNA (253 nucleotides) under uncultured bacterium. RNAcentral describes it as "partial 16S ribosomal RNA". It matches the Rfam family "Bacterial small subunit ribosomal RNA", at positions 524 to 776 of the family's 1533-position model. The record is from RNAcentral.
UACGAAGGGGGCUAGCGUUGCUCGGAAUCACUGGGCGUAAAGCGCACGUAGGCGGAUCUUUAAGUCAGGGGUGAAAUCCUGGAGCUCAACUCCAGAACUGCCUUUGAUACUGGGGAUCUCGAGUCCGGAAGAGGUGAGUGGAACUCCGAGUGUAGAGGUGAAAUUCGUAGAUAUUCGGAAGAACACCAGGGGCGAAGGCGGCUCACUGGUCCGGUACUGACGCUGAGGUGCGAAAGCGUGGGGAGCAAACAGG